UACGUAGGGUGCGAGCGUUACUCGGAAUUACUGGGCGUAAAGCGUGCGCAGGCGGUUCUCCAAGUCCGUUGUGAAAGCCCCGGGCUCAACCUGGGAAUGGCAGUGGAAACUAGGGGACUGGAAUCUGGCAGAGGGGGGUGGAAUGCCGCGUGUAGCAGUGAAAUGCGUAGAGAUGCGGCGGAACACCGAUGGCGAAGGCAGCCCCCUGGGCUGAGAUUGACGCUCAGGCACGAAAGCGUGGGGAGCAAACAGG
Molecule: ribosomal RNA, 253 nt
Filed under: uncultured bacterium
Lineage: Bacteria
Description: partial 16S ribosomal RNA
Rfam family: Bacterial small subunit ribosomal RNA
Source: RNAcentral